Molecule: RNA transcript, 5639 nt
Organism: Anopheles coluzzii
Lineage: Eukaryota; Metazoa; Arthropoda; Insecta; Diptera; Culicidae
Gene: ITP
Gene name: ion transport peptide
Exons: 4
Source: RefSeq, a predicted model, not a curated record
CCAGUGAUGGUGUGCCUAGCGCAGAUCAACGAUAUCAGUUGAACAAGAGCGACACGGUUUUUUUUUUGUUGGAUUUCUCGCCCAAAACCGUUCAAGGGUUUUGCCAAAUACCUUUCCCUCGAUACGGUCGGAUAUAAGCGGCUGAUAGAAAUUUGGAAAACCAGUGCUAGGGUGAAGCUGUCUAACAUCGAUUCACAAUAGUGUGUGACCAGGUUUGUGUGGGGUGUCAUUUAAUGGUGGUACGGGUGUAGUAACAUAGCUGCAUAAUUUCUCCCCAUUUCUGCUGGCACAAUUGUCACGACGGGGCAGAAAAAGUGUUUUGUUUGUCGUUCAACGAAUUUUGUGUGAAGUGUGUUGCUACAGCAGCUGCCGCUGGUGGUGGGGGUAGUAGUAGUAGUGGUAGUGGUGGUGGCUGGUGGUGGUGGUGAUGGUAAGGGUGGUGAUGGUAGGCCAAUCAAGCAAGGCGGAGAUUUGAGUAUUGUACUGAAUCCGGUCACAUCAUCCGUUGGCAGGGUUCUGGAGUACCAGACUCACGGGCGUAGGUCGUUCGCGGUGGUUGUUGUGGCGCCGAGAGGUAGUGGUAGUGACAGCGGCACAGGUUAAGUGGGAUAGAAGAUACACAGCUAACGAGCGGGUGUCGCAGCGCGAGCAAGGAGUGAAAGAGAGCGAAAGUGAUAGCAGCAGAGUAGUGUGUGAUAGGGAAGAAAAUGGAAGCCCACAUCCGGUCGUCAAGGGAAGAAAAGCUGCCCGUGGCCCGGGAAGCAGUGUUUUGUAAAACAUGAAUGCGAUUCCACGAUUCCACGAGCGCUACUGCAGGCAGCAACUAGCCGAGCGCGUCGUGCCGUGGUGACGUGCCGAGGUCAAUCGAGCCAUAAAACCGUCGGACCACUGCACUCUGGCGUCCUUCGCAGGUGUGACAAAACAGCCAACCAACCAACCAUAGGCUUCGGUCCGGCGUGUGAUGGAAUGCAGGUGCGUGCGCGGCUGCAGAUUGUUCGACCGACGCGCAAAGAUUCAUCUGACAACCGAGCAGAGCAGCUCGGUGGCGUGGAAAAGGUGGAAAAGUAUUGCGACUGUUUGCCAGUGCGUAAAACGAUCGCCCCUUGCGCGACACUAGCGCCGGAACGUGUGCAGCGGUGCCCUCGCGCAAGUGUACGGCAGCUUAGUAGUGCCGCCGCCCGCUUGCCGCGGGGUCUGUGUGCUGCGGGACGAAAUUGUGCUAAUAAUUUGUGCCACUUUUUUUCGGGGUGUCACACCGACAAAGGCCGACGGCACCUAUACAUACGGUACCGAGCGAUACGACCGACACACACACCUACAGAAACCCGUGCCCGGAACUCUCGUCCGUCGACGACGAUCGGCUGCAUCGCAACGGAUCGUUGACAACUGCACUGCUGAGCUGAAAGCACCUAGAGAAUUGGAGACUGUUACUGUACAAUGUUAAAAAUGUGUUCCCGCAAUCUAGCAAUUUCGUUGGCAUUGAUUAUCGCACUGGUACCACUGUCAACUGUCGCCUUACCUCACCACAGCAUCGUGAAGCGCAGCUCUUUUUUUGACAUAGAAUGUAAAGGACAGUUCAACAAACAGAUCUUUUACCGGUUGGAUCGAAUAUGCGAAGACUGCUACUCGCUGUUCCGGGAGCCCCAGAUUCUGUCCUUCUGCAAGAAGCAGUGUUUUACGACAGAUUACUUCAAAGGCUGUAUAGACGCGUUACAGCUAACGGAUGAGAUCGAGAAGUUUAAGCCGCUGAUAAAAGUACUAAACGGUGCUGAUCCGAAUACGUUAUAAAACCUACCGCCCAACACAUACUACACACAAACGCGGGACAGCAUUCACGGUGCAUACCUGCGUGUUGUUCGUGCCUACACCACUCUCUACCCAUCGCUCAUCCCCCCCACAAACAAUUGCGGAACUUUACACCAUCGACACUAAGCAUUUUGUGACGAUCUGUUGGAAGCAGUUGGAGCAGGGAGGAGCACCGGAAACGAACACCGAUCGACGAGCAAACGAGAUAUUACGGGCUGCGGAAAUAGAUUACAUAUACUAAGAAAAAAAAUGUAUUUUCUUGACGCCAAAUCGAUGUGAGAUGGAAGGGGGAUUGCUGCAGCGUUCGUUCGAUUAAAAACUUCGAGAGAAGAGAGACAAAACACGAAAUACUACACCACCAGUGGAAACGAGCGAUCGGCACCAGUACCAAAUAUGUACCAGAGCACCAGCAACCGAACCCGUUGUGUUUUUUUUUAUGUUUGAUGCAUUUAGUUCUCAUGAUUUAAUGGGAGGGCUGCUUCGGAACGGACUACUUCUUGGCCUGCGUAGAAGCACUGUUUCUCGAGGAGGAGAAGGAAAAGUUCAUGAAAUGGCGCGAAAUGCUGGGCAAGAAGAAGUAAGCGAAGCGUUUCGAAUGGAUCAACACCGAUAGAAGAAGAAAAAAACAACAACAACAAACGCAGUCGUUGCAGUGUGACACUUUUUGCUUCUUGUUUUGUGAGCAACCAUACACCCACUAUCUCCUACAUGGGACCGGAUGGAUGCUCUCACCGUACAGUAUGUGCUAGCGGGGUUUUCCCACCCCCGAAACAAUGAGUGCAGAAUGGAACUAAACCAUCUAUAAACAUAGUGUACACGACCGUGAACGCUUGGAUCCUCUUUUGUGCAGUGCUGGGAAACGUUAUUUAUGCUUAAGUACUUUUUGCGCUUGUAAAAUAUUAUUACUAUCCCAAUUACUAUUAUCACAGAGCACACAAAACAUGACUCAACAUACAUCUUUGCCAUUAAGUUAAAUGUUAAACAAACUCAACAAAACAAAACGCAAAAGCAAAACAAACAAACAAACGGCUUCUGUUUGCUUCCCUGAGCCUGUGUUGAAAACAAACUGGAGGGGAGGAGGGAUAGCGCUAUUGUUGGAAAUUACAUCUGUACAUAAUUAUUUCACAUAAAGAGAAUCAAGAGUACAUGUGCUAGUUAAAAUUAAAAGCUAAGGGCAAAGCAGGAACAGAAGAAAUGCUGUGUAUGGUUGGCCACUACAGUAUAGGGAGCGAGUAUGUUAGAGCGAGGGAAGAAGUGUUGGCUAAAAAGGGUAAGGACUGUGUAGAAAGCGUAGCAUUGCUAGGCGGUUUGGCGGACGGUAUAUAGGAAUAUGUAUGAUUGCGACAAAAAAGAGGUAUUUAUUUUAAUCCUUAAUGCGAGGAAUAAGAAACGGUAAUAUAAUUUUAUUUUCAGCCUAUGACAUACAACGAAACACUGUAAAACGAAUCAAUUAAACCUCCUUAAUUAUGUAAGCGGCGAAAGUGAGCAGAUUAACUUAUUUAGUUAUCAGUGCAUUGCUAAGACAUUUGAAAACAAACAAAAACAACAACAAAAAACACAAAGAGCGUGGAGAAAAGCGGUAGAGCAAAGAAUGAAAACAAGGAGAGAGAAAAAACAUUGCUGUGAGAGGAAUAAUUACUAGUGAAGGCGUAGUAGCGCACAAGCAAGUACGGAACCUAGGACACAGAGCAACGAAACUAAAUCGCACAAAGAGGGGGAAAAAACAUCAUUUAGAAGAAAACAAAAGCAAGGAUCAUUUAGUGCGAAUUAGGAAGAAUUGUAAAGCGAAAGGCGAACCGGCGACGAGCUGGGUGAGGAAGCGAGUGCGAGCUGAUAAUGUUGUGUAUGGUGCUAAGCUGUGUCAAGUGGGGAAGGUAAUGGUCGUCGCCUAGACGAUAGCCGUUGGCCAUUGCCAUUCCCCAAAUCCUGCACACACGUUUGCUACAGAGGACUGGUGAUGGUUUGGCAUGUAGAACAGACACACACAGACACAUUUACACAUUGAAAAUCGGUACGAAGCAAAUCCUGCAGGAGGGAAAGUUUGUUGCCUAUUUUGAUUGAUUCUGUGCUUUUGAUUGAUGUUUCGCUUUGCUCUUCUUUACUUUUGCGUUCAAGAAGAUCCAACAAGGUGUAACAUCUCUGUAUCUUUCUCUUUUGUUCGAAGUUUUGAAGUAAAGCUCCAUUAAUGGAAAGUCUAGAUCGACUUACCACCCUCCCUCGUCAACCAGGGAGUGUGAUGAUCCUCUCCCCAUCUCAACCGCUUGUGUAAAAUGUGUAUUUAUGUUUUCAGCGAGGAACAGGGAGAAGCGAGAAUUAUGUAUGUUCUAUAUAUUUGAAAUCUAGUCCAGAAAGCACACACACUAACUUUUAGUUUUUAUUCUAAUGCUAUAUUAUUGUAAUAGCGUGUGUGUUUGUGUGUGUGGGCACGUGUUGACACGGUAAAGAUGCUGAUCACACAUAGAGUUAAAACACACGACAAUGGAUUAACACUGAACUGAACAGAAGUGAAAACAAAAAUACCGUCAUACAUACACCAAUAUACACAAUUUUCCAUGUUUCCAGUACCGAUUGUCAUAGUUCUAGUUUCGUAUUCUGCGCGCCAGAAUUCAAAAAAUCAAAAAAUUCAAAUCGUCAUCCAAUUGGUAUACAGUUUUGUAUUUAAAAAAAAACCCCACAUAUAUCCACACAACCGAAUAAAACGUGUUGCUGCUUACUGAACGAUCCAAUGACAAUGACGUAUAUAAGAGCUAAUCACAUCGUGACCGAUAUUGUUUUUUUUUUGUUCGAUAGUAAUGUUUUAAACACCAACCAGCGAAGGAAAUCAAUUUUGACAUUCCUUUCUAGACAGUAUUUUUUCUCCAACUAUGAAGGAAUAAUUUUCGUUAUGCUAUUUUUAUCGUUAUCACUAUCUCGUACAGCGCUUAAUUUAAGUUUUUUUGUUUGUUUGUUUUCUGCUUCCAUCUAAGAGAACCCCCGAUCAACACUUGUACAUCCACAAAGCCGAGCAAAAAGUAAACUUUUUCUUAUAUUUUCUUCUUCACAACUCUGGAAAGGGAACGGCAAAACCAUAUAGACACAGCCCAGUUGGGUUGAAUGAGGAAUUUUUAUACAGAUCGUUUGAUUUAAACAAUGGUGGUACCUCUUCACAACCAGUUGAGCUAAUGUGUGUAGAUAAAAAAAAGAAGCACAAGUCAGUAAUAAGUACUGCUCCGUGUAGCGGACAGAAUACCUAUAUUUGUAAAAUCGUAUCUAAAAGAUACAUACCAACCAAUGCAAUGGACAACUUGAGAGCAAAAAGCAAAAACAAACGAUCCUGAACCAGUUGACUAGCGUGUAGUACACACCACAUUCAAAUGAGCCACUUCGUCGUAUGGUCUAAUGUACUGUUAUUUUGGAGCAAACAGCAAACCGCUUUGUAAAACUGUUAGAUAAACAGAUGGUAUACAUAGUAAGCACCUCCCAAAAGCAAAACAAAAAAAAUCAAAAAAAAAAAAAGUAAAUGUAAUAAGCUUACCCACACAGUGGAGAUGUGUUGCUACUAGUAGGUCUAGGGAAAUGGAGAGGAAAACUUUUGGUGUACAUUUCAUAUUCAAAACAAACGUAAAAUGAACCGAGAAGCCAACACAAAACGAUGAAAUGGAAGAAAACUGUUUUAACAAACACAAUUCAAACAAAUUACAGCACGCGCGUACGCUCGUGGCGCAGUGUUUAUAAUUAAAAAAAGAGAUGCAAAACACUAAGCUACUAAUAUGAUGGCAAACAACAAUGUAAUGUUGAAUAAAGUACAGUGGAAGAAAUCAUAAAAUAAAACAUGAAGAAUGUAAACUCGUCGA